GAUGAACGCUGACAGAAUGCUUAACACAUGCAAGUCUUUGGCGAAGCUGUGCUUGCACAGCCUAGCCAAGGCGGACGGGUGAGUAACGCGUAAGGAACUUGCCCUGCAGUCAGGGAUAACAGACGGAAACGACUGAUAAGACCUGGUAAAGUCAGGCGGACUCAUGUCCAGCCUGAUGAAAAGAGAUGCUGCAGGAGAGCCUUGCGUCCUAUUAGCUUGUUGGUGGGGUAACGGCCCACCAAGGCGAUGAUAGGUAGCCGGCCUGAGAGGGUGGACGGCCACAAGGGGACUGAGAUACGGCCCUUACUCCUACGGGAGGCAGCAGUGGGGAAUAUUGGACAAUGGGGGCAACCCUGAUCCAGGAAUUCUGUGUGCACGAUGAAGGUUUUCGGAUUGUAAAGUGCUUUCAGCAGGGAAGAAAAAAAUGACGGUACCUGCAGAAGAAGCGACGGCUAAAUACGUG
This 463-nucleotide ribosomal RNA is filed under the name uncultured bacterium. RNAcentral's name for it is "partial 16S ribosomal RNA". It matches the Rfam family "Bacterial small subunit ribosomal RNA", at positions 28 to 507 of the family's 1533-position model. The record is from RNAcentral.